This 486-nucleotide ribosomal RNA is filed under the name uncultured bacterium. RNAcentral's name for it is "partial 16S ribosomal RNA". It matches the Rfam family "Bacterial small subunit ribosomal RNA", at positions 28 to 507 of the family's 1533-position model. The record is from RNAcentral.
GAUGAACGCUAGCGGCAGGCUUAACACAUGCAAGUCGAGGGGCAGCGCGGGAUAGCAAUAUCCUGGCGGCGACCGGCGGAAGGAUGCGUAACGCGUGAGCGACAUGCCCGUUGCCCGGGGACAACCGGUGGAAACGCCGACUAAUCCCCGAUGGGAUAUUGUGCCGCAUGGCACGAUAUUGAAAGUUACGGCGGCGACGGAUUGGCUCGCGUCCGAUUAGCUUGGUGGCGGGGUAACGGCCCACCAAGGCUGCGAUCGGUAGGGGUUCUGAGAGGAAGGCCCCCCACAAUGGGACUGAGACACGGCCCGUACUCCUACGGGAGGCAGCAGUGAGGAAUAUUGGUCAAUGGGCGGAAGCCUGAACCAGCCAUGCCGCGUGCGGGAAGGAGGCCCUAUGGGCUGUGAACCGCUUUUGCCUGAGGGCAAUAAGGGCGUCGCGCACGUCCGAUGAGAGUACCAGGCGAAUAAGCAUCGGCUAACUCCGUG